Molecule: signal recognition particle RNA, 246 nt
Filed under: Desulfobacteraceae bacterium
Lineage: Bacteria; Pseudomonadati; Thermodesulfobacteriota; Desulfobacteria; Desulfobacterales; Desulfobacteraceae
Description: signal recognition particle sRNA large type
Rfam family: Bacterial large signal recognition particle RNA
About the family: The signal recognition particle (SRP) is a universally conserved ribonucleoprotein involved in the co-translational targeting of proteins to membranes.
Source: RNAcentral
UUGUGCUAGGUGGGGAGCUAGCGGUGCCCUUUACCCGAAAUCCGCUUUAUGCGGGGCUGAAUUCCCUCCUGAGGGUUGUCCCUAUAUUUCAUCUGUCAUACUGACCGGUCGCCGAGCAACAAACGGUCGCGAACCUCGUCAGGUCCGGAAGGAAGCAGCGAUAAGUGAUGCGGUUUGUGUCUCGGAUCGAUCCCGGUCAAUGUAUUGUCGGUGAAAACGUGGGAUUUUUCGAUGGAGGGUGCACAA